GCGGGCGUGGCGAAAUUGGUAGACGCGCCAGAUUUAGGUUCUGGUAUCUAGCGAUGUGGGGGUUCAAGUCCCUCCGCCCGCACCA
RNAcentral lists this transfer RNA (85 nucleotides) under Alphaproteobacteria bacterium. RNAcentral's name for it is "tRNA-Leu". It matches the Rfam family "tRNA". From Rfam's summary of the family: Transfer RNA (tRNA) molecules are approximately 80 nucleotides in length. Their secondary structure includes four short double-helical elements and three loops (D, anti-codon, and T loops). RNAcentral also lists the same sequence under 3 other names. The record is from RNAcentral. Lineage: Bacteria; Pseudomonadati; Pseudomonadota; Alphaproteobacteria.